Molecule: ribosomal RNA, 253 nt
Filed under: uncultured bacterium
Lineage: Bacteria
Description: partial 16S ribosomal RNA
Rfam family: Bacterial small subunit ribosomal RNA
Source: RNAcentral
UACGUAGGUGGCAAGCGUUGUCCGGAUUUAUUGGGUUUAAAGGGUGCGUAGGCGGCCCUAUAAGUCAGUGCUGAAAUAUCCCGGCUUAACCGGGAGGGUGGCAUUGAUACUGUAGGGCUUGGGUAAAGUUGAGGUUGGCGGAAUUGACGGUGUAGCGGUGAAAUGCUUAGAUAUCGUCAAGAACACCUAUUGCGAAGGCAGCUAACUAAGCUUUAACUGACGCUGAGGCACGAAAGUGUGGGGAUCAAACAGG